CCUACGGGGGGCAGCAGUGGGGAAUAUUGGACAAUGGGGGGAACCCUGAUCCAGCCAUGCCGCGUGUGUGAAGAAGGCCCUCGGGUUGUAAAGCACUUUCAGUGAGGAAGAACGCCUGGUGGUUAAUACCCAUCAGGAAAGACAUCACUCACAGAAGAAGCACCGGCUAACUCCGUGCCAGCAGCCGCGGUAAUACGGAGGGUGCGAGCGUUAAUCGGAAUUACUGGGCGUAAAGCGCGCGUAGGUGGCUUGAUAAGCCGGUUGUGAAAGCCCCGGGCUCAACCUGGGAACGGCAUCCGGAACUGUCAAGCUAGAGUGCAGGAGAGGAAGGUAGAAUUCCCGGUGUAGCGGUGAAAUGCGUAGAGAUCGGGAGGAAUACCAGUGGCGAAGGCGGCCUUCUGGACUGACACUGACACUGAGGUGUGAAAGCGUGGGUAGCAAACAGGAUUAGAUACCCGAGUAGUC
This 465-nucleotide ribosomal RNA is filed under the name Vreelandella stevensii. RNAcentral's name for it is "partial 16S ribosomal RNA". It matches the Rfam family "Bacterial small subunit ribosomal RNA", at positions 338 to 795 of the family's 1533-position model. Lineage: Bacteria; Pseudomonadati; Pseudomonadota; Gammaproteobacteria; Oceanospirillales; Halomonadaceae. The record is from RNAcentral.